AACGCUGGCGGCGUGCCUAACACAUGCAAGUCAACUUGACUGAAGGAGCAAUCUGACAGUAGAGUGGCGCAAGGGUGCGUAACGCGUAAGUAACUUGCCCCAAGGUAAGGAAUAACGUCGAGAAAUCGGCGCUAAUACCUCAUAAUGCAGCGGAUCCGCAUGGAUAUGUUGUUAAAGGUUUACCGCCUUGGGAUAGGCUUGCGUCUGAUUAGCUAGUUGGUGUGGUAACGGCACACCAAGGCUACGAUCGGUAACUGGUCUGAGAGGAUGAUCAGUCACACUGGAACUGAGACACGGUCCAGACUCCUACGGGAGGCAGCAGUGAGGAAUAUUGGGCAAUGCUCGAAAGAGUGACCCAGCAACGCCGCGUGGAGGAUGAAGGUAUUCUAUAUCGUAAACUCCUGUGAGAGCAGACGAAAGACAGAUUAUUAAUCUGGAUGACUGUAUGCUCAGAGGAAGCCCCGGCUAACUACGUG
RNAcentral lists this ribosomal RNA (476 nucleotides) under uncultured bacterium. RNAcentral's name for it is "bacterial SSU rRNA". It matches the Rfam family "Bacterial small subunit ribosomal RNA", at positions 32 to 507 of the family's 1533-position model. The record is from RNAcentral.